UACGAAGGGGGCUAGCGUUGCUCGGAAUGACUGGGCGUAAAGGGCGCGUAGGCGGCUUGCACAGUCGGAUGUGAAAUUCCUGGGCUUAACCUGGGGGGCUGCAUCCGAUACGUGUGGGCUGGAGUGGGGAAGAGGGUCGUGGAAUUCCCAGUGUAGAGGUGAAAUUCGUAGAUAUUGGGAAGAACACCGGUGGCGAAGGCGGCGACCUGGUCCUUUACUGACGCUGAGGCGCGAAAGCGUGGGGAGCAAACAGG
This 254-nucleotide ribosomal RNA is filed under the name uncultured bacterium. RNAcentral describes it as "partial 16S ribosomal RNA". It matches the Rfam family "Bacterial small subunit ribosomal RNA", at positions 524 to 776 of the family's 1533-position model. The record is from RNAcentral.